GAGGCGCCGAGCCAGCUGCUAGUGUCCUCUGCUGUUGGCAGUUGUUGAUGAGAUGAAUGUGGGCAUCAACCGACCUCAGCAGCAGCUCCAGGAAUAGCCUUCACCUGGGUGUGCCGUGUGCAGCACCACCACCACUAGUAGCAGCAGCUCUA
This is a long non-coding RNA of Hordeum vulgare subsp. vulgare (domesticated barley), 152 nucleotides long. RefSeq lists it as uncharacterized. The record is from RefSeq and is a predicted model, not a curated record. Lineage: Eukaryota; Viridiplantae; Streptophyta; Magnoliopsida; Poales; Poaceae. The transcript has 2 exons.